Molecule: small RNA, 89 nt
Filed under: Flavobacterium sp. FPG59
Lineage: Bacteria; Pseudomonadati; Bacteroidota; Flavobacteriia; Flavobacteriales; Flavobacteriaceae
Description: Flavo-1 RNA
Rfam family: Flavo-1 RNA
Source: Rfam by way of RNAcentral
CUAUCGCUCGGGUGUAGUGGAAAUCCUUUUGUGCUGGUCCCGAAACUUCGGGAUGGCACAAAAGAUUAGAACAGAUAGCGGGACUUUGU